CCGUGUCCAUGGGGGCCCCUUCCUUCACAUCACACUAUCCUAUUUUUUACUAGUUUUUUAUACAAGCGCCGCCCGACUAGUUGCAAUGAACUCUAUGAGGCCUGAAGGGGCGGGGUAACCGGCACCCUCUUGCAGGGAACAUGAACAAGUUUACCCUUACCCUCACCCCCUGUUUAGUAAAGUGUCUCUCCAUAAGAGGUCCCGGGUUUUUGUUGUGUAAGUAUGCUCCCAGGCAUUUAUAUCGCGGGUGAAGAUUAUCGCCACAAGGGAUUGACCCCGCCAUAUUUCUGCGGGGGCACAGUAGGAUUCUCCACAAUGGACAAAUUUGAUGACCACGCCGCGUGGUGAGAAGGUUCGGCUCGUAAACACUGUUGUAAGAGAGAUGACAUUGAGAGUACUGUUCAAUGUGUGACGGUAUCUACCCAGAAAGGAACGGCUAAAUACGUGCCAGCAGCCGCGGUAAUACGUAUGUUCCAAGCGUUAUCCGGAUUUAUUGGGCGUAAAGCGAGCGCAGACGGUUAUUUAAGUCCGAAGUGAAAGCCCACAGCUUAACUGUGGAAGUGCUUUGGAAACUGGAUAACUUGAGUGCAGUAGAGGAGAGUGGAACUCCAUGUGUAGCGGUGAAAUGCGUAGAUAUAUGGAAGAACACCAGUGGCGAAGGCGGCUCUCUGGACUGUAACUGACGUUGAGGCUCGAAAGUGUGGGUAGCAAACAGGAUUAGAUACCCUGGUAGUCCACACCGUAAACGAUGAGUGCUAGAUGUUUGAGGGUUUCCGCCCUUAAGUGUCGCAGCUAACGCAUUAAGCACUCCGCCUGGGGAGUACGACCGCAAGGUUGAAACUCAAAGGAAUUGACGGGGACCCGCACAAGCGGUGGAGCAUGUGGUUUAAUUCGAAGCAACGCGAAGAACCUUACCAGGUCUUGACAUCCUUUGACCACUUCAGAGAUGAAGCUUUCCCUUCGGGGACAAAGUGACAGGUGGUGCAUGGUUGUCGUCAGCUCGUGUCGUGAGAUGUUGGGUUAAGUCCCGCAACGAGCGCAACCCUUAUUACUAGUUGCCAGCAUUCAGUUGGGCACUCUAGUGAGACUGCCGGUGACAAACCGGAGGAAGGUGGGGAUGACGUCAAAUCAUCAUGCCCCUUAUGACCUGGGCUACACACGUGCUACAAUGGCAAGUACAACGAGCAGCUAACCCGCGAGGGUACGCGAAUCUCUUAAAACUUGUCUCAGUUCGGAUUGUAGGCUGCAACUCGCCUACAUGAAGUCGGAAUCGCUAGUAAUCGCGGAUCAGCACGCCGCGGUGAAUACGUUCCCGGGUCUUGUACACACCGCCCGUCACACCAUGAGAGUUUGUAACACCCAAAGCCGGUGAGGUAACCUUUUAGGAGCCAACCGUGUAAGGGAGACGGGAGAUGGGAGUCACGCUGCGGUACAGGACAUGG
RNAcentral lists this ribosomal RNA (1442 nucleotides) under Weissella viridescens. RNAcentral's name for it is "bacterial SSU rRNA". The stretch from base 226 to 1442 matches the Rfam family "Bacterial small subunit ribosomal RNA". The record is from RNAcentral. Lineage: Bacteria; Bacillati; Bacillota; Bacilli; Lactobacillales; Lactobacillaceae.